Molecule: long non-coding RNA, 139 nt
Organism: Amblyraja radiata (thorny skate)
Lineage: Eukaryota; Metazoa; Chordata; Chondrichthyes; Rajiformes; Rajidae
Exons: 3
Source: RefSeq, a predicted model, not a curated record
UAGCGCUGUUCAGUGUCAGUCAUGGUGCGGGAGACAUAGGCAACUGGUCUGGGACCCUUCCCGUCUUCUUGUAGGCAAGCAACGCCCAGUCCAUACUGGGAGGCAUCACAGGUGAGGGUGGCGGGUCCCAGAUCAUUUG